UUAUAAGAGACAGCAGCAGCCGCGGGAAUACGGAGGGUGCAAGCGUUAAUCGGAAUUACUGGGCGUAAAGCGCACGCAGGCGGUCUGACAAGUCAGAUGUGAAAUCCCCGGGCUUAACCUGGGAACUGCAUUUGAAACUGUCAGGCUGGAGUCUUGUAGAGGGGGGUAGAAUUCCAGGUGUAGCGGUGAAAUGCGUAGAGAUCUGGAGGAAUACCGGUGGCGAAGGCGGCCCCCUGGACAAAGACUGACGCUCAGGUGCGAAAGCGUGGGGAGCAAACAGGAUUAGAUACCCCAGUAGUCCCUGUCUCUUAUAC
RNAcentral lists this ribosomal RNA (314 nucleotides) under uncultured bacterium. RNAcentral's name for it is "partial 16S ribosomal RNA". It matches the Rfam family "Bacterial small subunit ribosomal RNA", at positions 499 to 807 of the family's 1533-position model. The record is from RNAcentral.